Long non-coding RNA from Salvelinus fontinalis (brook trout), 1956 nucleotides. RefSeq lists it as uncharacterized. The record is from RefSeq and is a predicted model, not a curated record. The transcript is spliced from 5 exons. NCBI's taxonomy places the organism in Eukaryota, Metazoa, Chordata, Actinopteri, Salmoniformes, Salmonidae.
CCAAUCACCACGAUGCCCGGCAUCAGAACAUUCCAGACAGUCCCGUGAUUGGCAGAUAGCAGGUUGAUUGACAUGUCGGACCCCGCGAACACAACCACCUACUAGCCUAACACAUAACACACAGCUGUCUGUGCGGGUCGCUACACUACUAUUUGUCUUGGAAACGUAGCUAGCUACUGUACCCGUACCAGCAACUGAUAAAAACUAUUUUCACACGACUUCGAUACGGAAGUGACUUUUUCGUGACAGGUUGGGAGAAUUAACGUUGCAUGUUAGGGGACUGAGGUUAAUACGGUUAGGAAAGAGGUUUGCGAAAAUGCUCUCCAACCAUCGAAGUGGCGUAAAAAGUGUGUCCCCACGUCCCUUUGCAACGAAAGCUAGCGUUUCUAUUUGAGAGAUUCAGGCUGCUAUCAAGGGGAAACUUCAAGAACUUGAUGCCUAUGUUGGUCUCCCCAAGAUGAAGAGCUACCAGACUAUAUCAUGGUGAUGGUGGCCAACAAGAAGACUUCACAGCAGAUGUCUGACGACCUGGCCCUAUUCCUUGGAAACAAUACCAUCAAGUUUAUUGUCUGGUAUGUAGCUAACCAGCUAGGUCUGGUCCCAGAUCUGUUUGUACUAUUUUGCCAAAUUCUAAGGUAAUUGAAUUGCUGUUUGGCAAGAUGGCACAAACAGAUCUGGGGCCAGGUUAUAGCUAGUUAGGUGUAAACGCUUCUUGUUGUCAUUAACAGGUUACACGGAGUCCUGGAGAAACGGGGGUCUGUGGCAGUAGGUCAAUUCAGGUUACACCAAAGGAGUCUGUGCUUUCACUGAAAAGUAAUACUGUAGCGGCUGAUACAAAAAGAACCCGAGAUGAUUAUGUAACAGACUUCAAGGCCAGGGUUGUUAUAAUACUGUAAUAUAAAGUAAUCUUGGGUGUUGAGUGUCUACUCUUUACUGUUCUUGAAUAGAGACAAUGCAUUUUUAAACAAAUGCUAUAUCUGUUGACAUGUGUUAUCUGUCCAUGUGUAACUAUAUUGACAAUCUCUCUCUCCGUGUGUAUAUCUAGAACCAGAGUCGACGAGGUCUCCGCUCUACUCUGAAGCUGGCAUCUCAGCUGCGUAGAGCCAGAGGAAGGGUGGGGGGGGGGGGGGGUCAAAGGGGCUUGUGGUGUCCAGUUCGCUCUCUGAUAGGACGGAGGCCCUCGUGUCCAGCUCCACCCAUGAGCACAGGUAAGUGUUGAUUUUUUUGAGACAUGGAUUAAAUGUUGAAAAUAUCACUGUUCUACUUGGCUUUGAUAAUGUGGAAGAGCCCUAACACUCACUCAUAAGACCUCUGAAGACCUACAUGUCGUUCAAGAGCUUCAGCAUUUUAUCGUAAGCAAACAGCCCAGCAGGUCGGCAGACGCCUACAGGUCGUCAGAGGGAUCCUCGGGGUCUCACAGCAGGCAUCAGCACGGCAGCUAUCACAUGGAUAGUAGGAGCAGCAGAGACUGCAGGGCAUACAGAGUCAGAGGCAGCAGCAGGCACAGUGGGAAACGAGGAAGCGUAAGGCCCCAGUUGUGAGCUCCGUGGUGCGGGUGAACCAGGCGGCUGACGAGGGUCCAGACAGUGACGACGAGCUGGAGGAGGAGGAUGACGAGGAGGAUGAAGGAUACGGCGUCAAGAGCAUGUCCAGCAGAGUGUCCAUGCUUUCCAAACCAGAACGCAGAUAGACUACAAGAGACGAGCAGCCGAGACUGACUGAAUCCAGAUGAUGUGAACCUAUUGAAGAUGUGAUGAUGCUAUUCAGUUAUUUUUUUAUUCUCUUAUGGUUUAAUUAUCAACGAUCUGGUCAGUCUUUUUAUUUGCUUCUAUUUAAUUUUUAUGUGAAAUUAACAGAUUUUUUUUUUAACCGGACAACUUACAGGGUUUUAUAAAGUGGUGGUACGGCACAUUUUUUUAUAUUACUGAAAGUAUAUUAAAGUUCUCCACAUGUCAA